UUUGCCUGGGGCAAAAUGCAUAGACAUACAUCAGAUGUGUUUUUUGUUUAAAUUGGCUUGUAUAUCAGUGUGACUGUGCAGGGAGGAAGCUUUUAAAGGUAGUACUGNAUUUGUUUCUUAAAAAGAGCCUUAAUCAAGCCUUCCAUUUAAAGUUAUACAAGAUGCCAUGGAAGGCUAAUUAAUAGUAUGACCGAAAGAACUGGAAUUAGUAAGAAUAACAAAAAUCAUACAGGAAGAUUUCACAAUGGGGUUUUUGCCUGACUGGAUGGUUGAUUCUGAUCUAUCUGUAAUCCAUUUUAAGUAUAAACUGAAUUAUGCAAAAUAAGAUUCUGAUCUUACAGCUCUUAUGCACGGCAGGUAAGGAGAAGGCACAUCCACCUCAGCCCAUACAGUUGUUUCCAGGAGCAAAAGAGAAUGAAAUAUGUAGAAUGGGCUUCUUCACCACCACCACCAACACCACCAUCAUCAUUAUUGUUGUUGUUCUGGCAAAUAUUCUUUUUCUCUUCCAUCCAAGUGACUGUCCACACAGAAGCACAGAUCAGUUUAGGUCAGGCUACGUUGUGAGCAGCUCCCAUGAUGCAUCCCACAAUCAGCUUUCAAUGCAUUCCAAAGUGCCAUUUCAGGAGUCUCCAAACUACCUUAAAAUAGCCCGAAAAUGUCUUUUCUUACUGUGUGUCAUUCCCAAGUUUCACUGGUUUUGAUUUACUUUGGGUGUUAUGGGCAUUACUACGAACACAUCUAUAGUAGGUGUGCAUACACAUAACACGCAAAGGACAUGUAUCUCUGGACUUUGGACUAUACAGCUGUAUGGGUGUUCUAACCAUGGCUUGCUCGUGGAAGGCAACUUGAAAGCAUUAUAAAGGAAAAGCCAUCUUGGAAGAAAAGACAAACCCCAUUUUGAAAUUGAGACUUUUUUCCUUCACACCUCCAUCUUCAUUUUAAGACAGAAGAAGUUUUCUGUAGACUGGAAAACCCUAGAAGCAUGUUGCAGGAGCACCUGGACUCUGCUUUUGUUUUGUUAACAUUGUCUUCACACUUGGCACAAUGCUCUUAGCGCAGCAAUGCUCUUUAAACUUCUCUUAGCAGUACCCUUGCCAUUGUGUCACACCAUUGUAACUUUGCUUUUUAUCUUUGAACCUGCCUGAUCACUAUAUUAUUAUCAAAGCCUGUUAUCUUGUUGAUGGCUGUUGCAGCCACUCAAUAAAUUGCUUCUUAUCCUUUUUAUUGUUUGAAAU
Molecule: long non-coding RNA, 1235 nt
Filed under: Salvator merianae (Argentine black and white tegu)
Lineage: Eukaryota; Metazoa; Chordata; Lepidosauria; Squamata; Teiidae
Description: lncRNA (ENSSMRG00000011961.1)
Source: RNAcentral